UCCUAUUUCUUGAGAGAGCAAAUUUGAUUCCACUAACUUGCAAGAAGAUGUCCUAACCCAAUUGGAGAGUAGUACAAUUUCUCUUGGUUCUCCAUAAAGUGUAUGUGUCAAAUCAAUUGGAGAGUAGCACGAUCUUUCUCAGCUCUCUAUGAGAUGUGUGGUCUAGUAGUAUAACCCAAGGGGUUAUUGAGCUUAGGGUAUCAUGAUGUGUAUGGUUGACCUUCCAGAAGUUUCCCGUGAUGCUGAUCAACCCUCGAUUUCCUCAUAUGCAUUGGGAAGGCUGAUUAUCCCUUGUUGCAACCUUCCAAAAGUGUCACGAGAAUGCCAAUCAUCCCUCGAUUCCGCCAUAUGCAUUGUGAGGGCCAAUCAGCCCUCAACUCCUAUUAUGUACUAGAGUGCCGAUAUCCCUUGACUACAAGCACCAAUCAAUUGGAGAAUAGUGUGUUCAUCCCUCGGCUCUCCAUGAGGUGUGUGUCAAUUGAUUGGAGGUGGUACAAUCAUCCCUCAGCUCUCGAUGAGAUGAAUAUCAAUCAAUCGCAGAGUAGUACGAUCAUCCCUCGGCUCGCCGUGAGGUGUGUGUUAACCGAUUGGAGAGUAGAAAGAUCAUCCCUCGGCUCUCCAUGAGGUGUGUGUCAACCAAUCGCAAAAUAGUACAAUCAUCCCUCGGCUCUCCAUCAAGUGUGUGUCAACCGAUCAGAGAGUAGUACAAUCUCCUUCCGCUCUUCGUAAGGUGUGUAUAAACCGAUCGGAAAGUAGUACGAUCUCCCUCAGCGCUUCAUGAGGGGUAUUGGUCCUGCCACAUUCUCAUACGUAUUCUGGUGAAGAAUUACCAUCGGUUCCACACCAUACGGUAGAGUGCCUGAGGUAGGGGGAGAAACCAAAUCACCGAAGUUCGGUUCGUGACUUCCAGAUUAUAGCCGGACUUCACGCUUCAGAUUGAUCAGGAAUUUCUUCUCGGCGGCGCUCUGUUGAUGGUUGUUACCGCUUCGUGCUUGAGCAGAUCCAAACUGGGCGAUCUCGGAGCGUGACAAUAUUUUGAUGAGAUAUUAGUUUGAUUAGGGGAUAGAAAUUGUGGCCAUAGGAUUUGAAGUAAACUGGUGAUUUCUAUCGUUUAGUGUAACAAAAAAAAAAAACUACGAUCGGAGAUCUCCAAAAUUUGGCUAAAUUUGGCUAAAUAUUUAGAUGAGCAGAGAAUUCCUUUUUCAAAAAACAUACAAACAUUCAAUAUUGUAAUGGCCCAAUUGUAGUUCGAAAGUUUUCGGUGUCAUUAUUUCUUCAGUAGUUCAAUUAUUAGUGAAUAUUUUCAA
Molecule: long non-coding RNA, 1307 nt
Organism: Ananas comosus (pineapple)
Lineage: Eukaryota; Viridiplantae; Streptophyta; Magnoliopsida; Poales; Bromeliaceae
Exons: 3
Source: RefSeq, a predicted model, not a curated record